AUUGAACGCUGGCGGCAGGCCUAACACAUGCAAGUCGAGCGGAUGAAGGGAGCUUGCUCCUGGAUGCAGCGGCGGACGGGUGAGUAAUGCCUAGGAAUCUGCCUGGUAGUGGGGGAUAACGUCCGGAAACGGGCGCUAAUACCGCAUACGUCCUGAGGGAGAAAGUGGGGGAUCUUCGGAACUCACGCUAUCAGAUGAGCCUAGGUCGGAUUAGCUAGUUGGUGGGGUAAAGGCCUCCCAAGGCGACGAUCCGUAACUGGUCUGAGAGGAUGAUCAGUCACACUGGAACUGAGACACGGUCCAGACUCCUACGGGAGGCAGUAGUGGGGAAUAUUGGACAAUGGGCGAAAGCCUGAUCCAGCCAUGCCGCGUGUGUGAAGAAGGUCUUCGGAUUGUAAAGCACUUUAAGUUGGGAGGAAGGGCAGUAAGUUAAUACCUUGCUGUUUUGACGUUACCAACAGAAUAAGCACCGGCUAACUUCGUG
This 484-nucleotide ribosomal RNA is filed under the name uncultured bacterium. Its description in RNAcentral is "partial 16S ribosomal RNA". It matches the Rfam family "Bacterial small subunit ribosomal RNA", at positions 30 to 507 of the family's 1533-position model. The record is from RNAcentral.